UUCCAGGUGGGAAAUGGAUCAACGUUUGUAGAUAAGGUGAAGAAUGCACAACUUCAGGAUGAAGACUGCGAAAAGAUAAAAACAAAGAGUAUCUGAAGGUGAGGAAAACAAAUUUAAAAUCGAUUCGGAAGGAUUACUUCGAUUCGAAGGGAGAAUUUGGGUUCCGCCAGUACUAGAAGUUAAAGAGGAAAUUCUGAGUGAAGGUAAUAAC
RNAcentral lists this long non-coding RNA (211 nucleotides) under Panax ginseng (ginseng). Its description in RNAcentral is "long non-coding RNA (PGIN_LNC013760)". The record is from RNAcentral. Lineage: Eukaryota; Viridiplantae; Streptophyta; Magnoliopsida; Apiales; Araliaceae.